Molecule: long non-coding RNA, 2646 nt
Filed under: Triticum aestivum (bread wheat)
Lineage: Eukaryota; Viridiplantae; Streptophyta; Magnoliopsida; Poales; Poaceae
Description: long non-coding RNA (TAES_LNC004502)
Source: RNAcentral
CCUCCCCGGCGCCGUCUUCUGCGUCGUCGUGUUCUACUGUUGCUUAUGUUGUAAACGAGCAGAGAACGAGCGCACGCUACCGCCCCCGCGUUGACCCGUCGCCGAGCCCGGCCUCGCGGCUUGCUUCCUCACGGGCCACAACCCACAGCUGGCCCAGCUCCCUUGCCGCGGCCUGCCUGGCGUCCUCCUCUCUAGUCGGGCCUUGGCCCAGGGUGAGCAACCCCCAUCCUCUCCAGUGCACGAUCGGGCUAGUCAGUUUCGGCCCAGUGUUGUUUUUUUUCUCUGUCUGUGAUUUUUGCCUAUUAAUGCUGAGAAAAUAGAUUUGCAGAAAAACCCUUGAACUUCAUGCAUAUAAUAACUUCACAACCGUGCAUCGGAUUAAAAUAAUCUAAAUAUGUAAAAUGCUCAGAAAUUUGUGUAGUUUAAUAAUAUGCUGCUUGCAUCCAUGUUUAAUAUGUUUAAAGUGUUGUUUUUUUAAUUUGCUUAAAUGCCAUGUUAAAAUGAUUUAUUUCAUAACUAAUUAACCGUAACUCGGAAUUUAAUAAACUUUAUAUGUAAAUGGUGUAGAAAAAUGCAUAGAUUAACAUGGUGCACUUCAUUUUGCUGUUUAACAACAUUAAAAUUGUGUUUAUGGCAGAACAGUACCAAUUCCAAAAUAUGAACAUGAGGAUUUUCCGGAAUUGUCGUUUGUUAUUUCCGGCCUCAUUUAAACUUGCCUAGAUAGGUUGUUUAAUUAUGCUUCACCCCUUGCCAUGUUUAAUAACAUUUAAUAUUGUUGGGCACAUAAACGAGAGAGAACUAAAUAAUUAAAUGUGGUGUUUCGUCAAUAUGCAACUCGUUGCAUAUUGAGCUCCACUUAAUUUGUAGUAUUGUUUGUUGCAUUUUGCCAUGCCAUGCCUCUUUAAACCGAACAUGCAUCAUGUUUGUUUUUGCAUCAUGCCAUGUGUAUGUGUUGGUUGUUUACUAUGUUGUUUGUUUCUUUCCGGUUUGCUUCUCUCGUUAGCUUCGGUUUCGUUCCGGAGUUGUGAGGAUUCGUUCGACUUCGUCCGUUUGUCUUCUUCUUGGACUCGUUCUUCUUCCUAGCGGGAUCUCAGGCAAGAUGACCAUACCCUCGAAAUCACUUCUAUCUUUGCUUGCUAGUUGUUUCGCUAUAUUGCUAUGUCGCGCUACCUACCACUUGCUUAUCAAGCCUCCCAAAUUGCCAUGAACCUCUAACCUUUGUCACCCUUCCUAGCAAACUGUUGUUUGGCUAUGUUUCCGCUUUUGCUCAGCCCCUCUUAUAGCGUUGCUAGUUGCAGGUGAAGAUGAAGAUUGCUCCAUGUUGGAUUAUGUUUAUGUUGGGAUAUCACAAUAUCUCUUAUAUAAUUAAUGCAUCUAUAUACUUGGUAAAGGGUGGAAGGCUCGGCCUUAUGCCUGGUGUUUUGUUCCCCUCUUGCCGCCCUAGUUUCCGUCAUACCGGUGUUAUGUUCCUUGAUUUUGCGUUCCUUACGCGGUUGGGUGAUUUAUGGGACCCCCUUGAUAGUUCGCUUUGAAUAAAACUCCUCCAGCAAGGCCCAACCUUGGUUUUACCAUUUGCUACCACCUAUCCCCUUUUCCCUUGGGUUCUGCAGACUCAAGGGUCAUCUUUAUUUUAGACCCCCCCGGGCCAGUGCUCCUUCGAGUGUUGGUCCGAACCGAGUAGCCUGCGGGGCCACCUCGGGGAAACUCGAGGUCUGGUUUUACUCGUAGCUUGACUUAUCCGGUGUGCCCUGAGAACGAGAUAUGUGCAGCUCCUAUUGGGAUUUGUCGGCACAUUCGGGUGGCUUUUCUGGUCUUGUUUUACCAUUGUCGAAAUGUCUUGUAAACCGGAAUUCCGAGACAGAUCGUGUCUUUCCGGGAGAAGAUUUAUCCUUCGUUGACCGUGAGAGCUUAUAAUGGGCUAAGUUGGGACACCCUUGCAGGGUAUAAACUUUCGAGAGCCGUGCCCGCGGUUAUGUGGCAGAUGGGAAUUUGUUAAUAUCCGGUUGUAGAGAACUUGACACUUGACCCUAAUUAAAAAGCAUCAACCGCGUGUGUAGCCGUGAUGGUCUCUUUCCGCGGAGUCCGGGAGGUGAACACGGUUUCUGGGUUAUGUUUGACGUAAGUAGGAGUUCAGGACCACUUCUUGAUCAUUGCUACUUCACGACCGUUCCGUUGCUUCUCUUCUCGCUCUCAUUUGCGUAUGUUAGCCACCUUACAUGCUAGUGCUUGCUGUAGCUUCAUCACCUUACCUUUUCCUACCCAUAAGCUUAAAUAGUCUUGAUCUCGCGGGUGUGAGAUUGCUGAGUCCUCGUGACUCACAGAUACUUCCAAAACAGUUGCAGGUGCCGAUGAUACCAGUGCAGGCGAUGCUACCGAACUCAAGAGGGAGUUCGACGAGGACCUUGGUCGUUACUAUGUUUCUUUUCCUGUUGAUCAGUAGUGGAGCCCAGUUGGGACGAUCGGGGAUCUAGCAUUUGGGGUUGUCUUCUUUGUAUUCGGUUUUGACCGUAAUCGGUCUAUGUGUGUAUCUUGAAUGAUGUAUGAUUUUAUUUAUGUAUUGUGUGAAGUGGCGAUUGUAAGCCAACUCUUUAUCCCAUUCUUGUUCAUUACAUGGGAUUGUGUGAAGAUGACCCUUCUUGCGACAAA